This 1237-nucleotide long non-coding RNA is filed under the name Gallus gallus (chicken). RNAcentral's name for it is "lncRNA (ENSGALG00010026962.1)". Lineage: Eukaryota; Metazoa; Chordata; Aves; Galliformes; Phasianidae. The record is from RNAcentral.
UGGGACACGAGUAAAUUUAUCCACCCUGGUGGAAAGGCCUCUCUCCCUCUACACUCUCUCCGAAGAAGCCUGACACGUUUCACAAGGAGGAUAAUUUCCUUCCCCACCUUUCUCUUUCUUUUCUUUUUAAUUCGGUUUUAUUUUCAUUUCCCCACCGCCACCACACAAAGCUCACAGCUCUCCUCGGGCAUCCUCCUGCUCCCUCUAUCUCUUUCCGUAAGCCUAUGCCAAGACGAUCACUUCACAGGGACGGUUCUGAUGGCUCUUGAGCUCGGGAAGUGGCCGAAGGGGACAUUUCUGUUCUCCUGGAGGCUGCGGCGAGCUCAGCCCCGCCUGUGUCCCUAUACCGUGUCCGUAUUGCUGUGUCCUGCGCCCAGAGCCGGAGAUGAGAUAAUCAUCAGCGGGAGAGACCUCUCCUUUGGCCACAGUGAAAAUGCGUCCCCCCCCCUCCCACCCAAAUGCCUUCUGUAGAUGUCGCCGAGGUGGGGUAGCUGAGGCUCUCUCGGCGGCCUUAGGACUGGAGGCUCUGCGGCGAAGGGGCCGGGACCAGCCCAGCAGCAGUGUGCAGCCUCAGGGAGCCGAGGGAUCCGGGGUCCGAGCGGCGCCCCGCACUCCCGAGCUCUCCUCUUAGCCGUCACAAAUAGCCCGUGUGCGGCUCCGCGCUGCUCUGAGCCGAAAUCCCCGCAGAGUGAGCGAGCGGAGCCAGAGAGGAAAAUGGAACAGUCGGAGGAGCAGCGCUGCGAUGCUCCCUUCGCUCAGGGAGGUGGGCAGCCGCCCUCAGGCUCUGCCCGGAGGUGGGCUCGCCCCAUGCCCCGGACAGGUGUCAUGCACGCGGUGGGGAGGAAAUGAAAGCGCAGUUUGAGUUCGCCUUCCCCUCCUAGAAGCUCCCGGGGGCUCCCGAGAGGAACUCCAACCAACCUCCAAAGAUUGCUCCCACAACCCAUUUCCCGGGCUACCCAGCUGCAGAAGCAAUAGAAUGGACGGAAAAGAUCACCUGCUUGGCUUUACUACUGGCUAUGGAGAAAAGCGAUUCCUCUCCCUAGUGCCCCAAGCACUCCUCCGUGCUGCUGAGGUCACAUGGCAUUGCAUCCUGCUCAGCCACAGCUUCCAGUGAUGGGCUCAUGUGCAGGUGGACCUCAUCCAACACAUUUCAACAGCUGGAAAUCAUCUCGGUGAAAGAUGGAGCUGUGACAUGUUUGGCUGCACCUUGCUUGGGAAAGAAAGGACAAGACAAGAU